Chlorocebus sabaeus (green monkey) is the source of this 107-nucleotide small nuclear RNA. The record is from Ensembl. Lineage: Eukaryota; Metazoa; Chordata; Mammalia; Primates; Cercopithecidae.
GUGCUUGCAUCAGCAGCACAUAUCCUAAAAUGGGAACAAUACAAAGAAGAUUAGCAUGGCUCUUGCUCAAGGAUGACACUAAAAUUCGUAAAGUGUCCCAUAAAGUU